AGCAGCCGCGGUAAUUCCAGCUCCAAUAGCGUAUAUUAAAGUUGUUGCAGUUAAAAAGCUCGUAGUUGAAUUUCGGGGUCAGUAGAUUGGUCAUGCCUCCGGUAUGUACUGGUCUUACUGGCUCCUCCUUCCUGAUGAACCGUAAUGCCAUUAAUUUGGUGUUGCGGGGAGACUGGACUGUUACUUUGAAAAAUUAGAGUGUUUAAAGCAGGCUAACGCUUGAAUACAUUAGCAUGGAAUAAUGAAAUAGGACGUUCGAUCUUAUUUUGUUGGUUUCUAAGAUUGACGUAAUGAUUAAUAGGGAUAGUUGGGGGCAUUAGUAUUCAAUUGUCAGAGGUGAAAUUCUUGGAUUUAUUGAAGACUAACUACUGCGAAAGCAUUUGCCAAGGAUGUUUUCAUUAAUCAAGAACGAAAGUUAGGGGAUCGAAGACGAUCAGAUACCGUCGUAGUCUUAACCAUAAACUAUGCCGACUAGGGAUCGGAUGAUGUUAAUUUUUAAUGACUCAUUCGGCGCCUUAAC
Molecule: ribosomal RNA, 520 nt
Filed under: uncultured Glomus
Lineage: Eukaryota; Fungi; Glomeromycota; Glomeromycetes; Glomerales; Glomeraceae
Description: SSU rRNA
Rfam family: Eukaryotic small subunit ribosomal RNA
Source: RNAcentral